This 28-nucleotide non-coding RNA is filed under the name Rattus norvegicus (Norway rat). Lineage: Eukaryota; Metazoa; Chordata; Mammalia; Rodentia; Muridae. The record is from RNAcentral.
UCCUAGGGCCCAUGGUCUUGUAGUUGGU